This 427-nucleotide ribosomal RNA is filed under the name uncultured Methylotenera sp. RNAcentral describes it as "bacterial SSU rRNA". It matches the Rfam family "Bacterial small subunit ribosomal RNA", at positions 355 to 774 of the family's 1533-position model. Lineage: Bacteria; Pseudomonadati; Pseudomonadota; Betaproteobacteria; Nitrosomonadales; Methylophilaceae. The record is from RNAcentral.
UGGGGAAUUUUGGACAAUGGGCGCAAGCCUGAUCCAGCCAUUCCGCGUGAGUGAAGAAGGCCUUCGGGUUGUAAAGCUCUUUCGCAAGGGAAGAAAACUUAGGCUCUAACAUAGCCUGAGGUUGACGGUACCUUGAUAAGAAGCACCGGCUAACUACGUGCCAGCAGCCGCGGUAAUACGUAGGGUGCGAGCGUUAAUCGGAAUUACUGGGCGUAAAGCGUGCGCAGGCUGUUCUGUAAGUCAGAUGUGAAAUCCCCGAGCUCAACUUGGGAACUGCGUUUGAAACUACAGGACUAGAAUAUGUCAGAGGGGGGUAGAAUUCCACGUGUAGCAGUGAAAUGCGUAGAGAUGUGGAGGAAUACCAAUGGCGAAGGCAGCCCCCUGGGAUAAUAUUGACGCUCAUGCACGAAAGCGUGGGGAGCAAACA